UGAGGAAUCUUGCGCAAUGGGGGAAACCCUGACGCAGCAACGCCGCGUGAGUGAGGAAGGUCUUCGGAUCGUAAAGCUCUGUCAGUUGGAAAGAAAUGUCUGAGAGUCAAUCCCUUUCAGGCUUGACGGUACCAACAGAGGAAGCACCGGCUACCUUCGUGCCAGCAGCCGCGGUAAUACGGGGGGUGCAAGCGUUGUUCGGAAUCAUUGGGCGUAAAGAGCGUGUAGGCUGCCGGAAAGGUCAGAUGUUAAAGUCCAGAGCUUAAACCCGGAAGCGCACUUGAGACUGAUCCGCGAGUGUAGGGGGGAGGGAUGUGGAAUAACCAGUGUAGAAGUGAAACUUGUAGAUAUCAGGAGGAACGUCAGUUGCGAAGGCGACUUCCUGGCGCUAUACUGACGCUGAGACGCGAGAGCGUGGGUAGCAAA
RNAcentral lists this ribosomal RNA (426 nucleotides) under uncultured bacterium. RNAcentral's name for it is "bacterial SSU rRNA". It matches the Rfam family "Bacterial small subunit ribosomal RNA", at positions 355 to 772 of the family's 1533-position model. The record is from RNAcentral.